RNAcentral lists this long non-coding RNA (2202 nucleotides) under Homo sapiens (human). RNAcentral's name for it is "HSALNT0362752". The record is from RNAcentral. Lineage: Eukaryota; Metazoa; Chordata; Mammalia; Primates; Hominidae.
ACAGGCGAGGGCGUUCGGCGACGUUACUGGGGCUGCACGGUGCUUGUAGCUGGGCAGUCUUAUCAUCAGAGUGGAGCCUGGUAACCACGACCUCCCCGCCAGGUCCUGUGUGUUGCUAGCUGGAGAAGGGUAGUUGAAAACUCAGACCAAGCACAGUGUUUAUAUCGGUCAAAACUGGAAAACUAUGUCCGGGCGCAGCCGAGGCUGGAGGAUCCCUUCAGGCCAAGAGCAACCUAGCAAUAUGGCGCGACCGGAUCUCUGUAGUCCUACCUCAACCCCCAGCUACUUGAACCCCAAGGUUGAAGGCUCCAGUGAGCUAUGAUCCCACCACAGCAUUGCAGCCUGCCAGACUGAGGGCUUGAGGAUCAGCCAGGUUUCAUGAGUUCAAUGCAGACCUGAAUCAUACCAAGCUGAGACUGGGGUACACACUCUCCUCUACUGAAAAGUAGUGAGGGAUUCCAACUUGGUGAGAGGGAGAGUGGGGGAGAGCCAGACCAGACAAGAGUGCUCACCUGGAAAAAGCCUGCCAUCAAAGGCCAUGACAUGAACUUAUGAAUUCAACACAUGAAGACUUACAACUUGAUAAACCAGCUUCAGGAGAUUGAGAAAACUUGUAUUCCUGUGAUUUCGAUAGUGAAGGAAGUAUGGUAUACCAGAAUCACUAAAUUAUGAAAGAUGGUAGAUCAGCUUUUUGCAAAAAAAUUUGGUUCCUGAAAGGGAGAGAGGAAAUCUUCGAUUUUUCAUGGCUGUGAACCACUGCAAGUAUUGAAGAAAUAUUUACUACUUCCAGCCUCAUAAUCCUGCAGUCAUUUGGCACCUCUGAAGCCUUGGGGAGCACUGAAGCCAAGGCUGCACCGUACCAAAAAUUUGAAACAUGUGAAUGAGCUGAAUGUGGAAGGACUACCGGAAAACACUCCUUUCAGAAUCCCCUCAUUGCAUGAAAUCCCAAGGCUCGAAAACAUCUUUCAAGUGAGCAAUUGAAUUAAGUUUGUUAUUAAGAGUAACUCCAGUUAGCCUCCAUUGUCUCCAAGCCGGCUUUUGUCCUCAUCCACAACGCCUCCACACAAGCUCUGAACACCUGUCCAUGCUGUACUGUUUAUAUUUCUUGAUGGGACCCUCAAAGACUUAGCCUCUGAAAUUGAAACUCUGGAGGGUUCUGAGUCUCCCGAAACCUAAGGAAAUUUUCCAAGACAUAUCGAGAUAAGUAAAAUCCUAUAUUCAACCAAUGGCAUAUUUCCCCUAUCCUAGAAAUCACCCUCCUUCCCCUUCCCCCCGAAACUUCAGUUGGGAACCAGCUGGAGUUUAUAGCACCAGGCUUAGUGUGGAUCUCUUGACACCUCUGAAACAAGUUCCCCAUCACAUGGGAAAACUGCUCUGCCCUUCCACACCAGGCCUUGGAGCCUCUGCCAGCUUGAUGCUGAAGAAGCCUGACAUCCCCCAGGUAGGGGACAGCUGAGAUCUCUUGGGGUGUCUUGGGACCUGCUUGACUGUCCUUUUGAAGAGCGCACCUUUCCCUCAUCUGUAAAGAAGUCUGAGGGCAGAAACCAGAUGUGCUGACCUCACCUCUCACCUCUCUCCCCCUGGGCUGGAAUCCAGUGUUGCUCACUUCCUAUUCACUAGAAGCAGCUUGCCUGGGCAGGACUGGUGUUAUACUUUGUUUCAGUCAGCACAGGAAAGUGCAGAGUUGCCUGCAAAAGGCAGAUGAAAACUUAAAGUGAUCUUUGGCCAGCAGAUUCAUUUAAAAUGCAAAUCCACUCAGCAGUGUAGGAACAGUAUGGCACAGCCCCCAUGUGGUAGAUUAGAAUGCAGGCUUUCACCACAGCUCUUUGUUCCAAAGCCAGCAGAAACUGGCUAGGCUUGGCAUUUAUCCUUUUGCACUAAAGCGCGUUGGGGAAAUCCCUGAACGAGUCCCUAAAAUUCCCGGUGAUUGGGGAAGCUUGAAGUAGUCUAUUUGCACCCAGCCCUACCUGAUUUGAAGAGCUGUAUGGAACCAGGAACCAGGAAGAGAAUGUGAGCUUUUGAGCCAGUACCCCAACUUACCAGCCCUGAAAUCUUCAGCUAAUUAUUUUAUCUCUCUGAGAAACAUAUUAACCUCUCUAGGCCACAUCUUGAGGGGACUCUAAAGCUGACAUUUGGGAGUUAACGUUUCCCCUGCUAGGAGAAAAUACACAUAUAUUAGUCCAUUUUCACGUUGCUGAUAAA